RNAcentral lists this ribosomal RNA (433 nucleotides) under uncultured bacterium. RNAcentral describes it as "partial 16S ribosomal RNA". It matches the Rfam family "Bacterial small subunit ribosomal RNA", at positions 29 to 507 of the family's 1533-position model. The record is from RNAcentral.
AACGAACGCUGGCGGCAUGCCUAACACAUGCAAGUCGAACGAGACCUUCGGGUCUGGUGGCGCACGGGUGCGUAACGCGUGGGAACCUGCCCUUAGGUUCGGAAUAACUCCUUGAAAGGGGUGCUAAUACCGGAUAAUGUCCUCGAACCAAAGAUUUAUCGACUUUGGAUGGGCCCGCGUUGCAUUAGCUAGUUGGGAGGGUAAAAGCCGAUCAAGGCUACGAUCGAUAGCUGGUCUGAGAGGAUGAUCAGCGACACUGGGACUGAGACACGGCCCAGAAUACUAGGCGAGGCAGGAGAGGGGGAUACAGGCAUACGGGCGAAGGGCUGAAGGAGCAAUGCCGCGUAAGUGAUGAAGGUCUGAGAGAUGUAAAGCUCGUUUACCCGGGGUGAUUAUGACGGUACCGGGAGAAUAAGCACCGGCUAACUCCGUG